GGGCAUGUGAGUCUGGUGGUUUCGCCCUAAGGGUCCUGGGUAUCUGGUGCUCGGCACUUUGCCAGUCUCAGCCACUGGCUCAGCCUUUCCCCUGGAGAUAUAGAGGCUAUGGGGGCAGUGAUCUGGAAGGCCAGCUGUGUAGAAGUCCCUGAGGGUCAAAGUCUAGGUCUGGCAGUGUUGGAGAAUAAAACCCUUGGCUGGCCAAACACUGGGAGGCUGCACCUGCUGCUCUGCAAAUAUGCCUGCCCCUGCCUGAGCAGGAGGCCUCAGCCAGCCCUCAGCAGGAACCCAGCCAGGGCCACCCACCCCAGCCAUGCUAAGCCUCUGCCAGAGUGAGAGAGGCCCGCGUGGGCCAGGGGUGGCACAAGAGUCACUCUCAGGGUGGGCCAAAGGGUAUCACAGAGACAGCCCGGCCCUGGAGCCAUGCAGACCAGGAGCCGGGUGCCACCUCCAACACCAACUCACAGUGACUUUGGGCAAGUCCUUUUUUUGUCUUGAACCUCAGUGGGCCUAGUCUUGGCAACUGUGCAGUCGAGUGUCCAGCCCAGGGUCUAGACCAGAGCCAGUGGCAGCAAACAGCCCUGUUAUCAAGAAGCAACAUAACAAGAAGAAAGGAGAAAAAAGGUGCCCUAACUGUAAAAUAGGGCUGGCAACAGGACCCGGCCCUUGCCCUUGUGAAAACGAAGCCAGCUGAUACCCAAGGCCUGCCACAGAAUCAGCCCCCAUCCUGAGCCUGCAUCAGCCAAGAAGGAAAAAGGUUCCACAGCCAACUGCAACCAGUGCUUUGCCUACAGGAUAUUCCAUUUGGAGCCCCAGGCCCAUGUGGCCCUUCUGCCAGAGCCAGGGAGCCCACUGCAGCCCUGAGGGCACUCACAUGGACAUGUUCUGGAAGCCUGUGCCAUUCUCCCAGCUGUCGAAGACGGGGAUUGUGCAGGGUGAGAGAAUGGUCCUCCAUGGCCCAGGGACAUCACCCAGGCAGCACUACCCACUGGGUGCAUAGGUGCAUGCCGACAGGGAAACUGAGGCGAAGAAGGGGCAGGGAUCCCACAGCAGUCGCACCACAAGGCUGGUCUCCCGCCUCCUGGUCCCCACCCUCUGGAGAAGCACACCCAGUUCUAGUGG
This 1122-nucleotide long non-coding RNA is filed under the name Homo sapiens (human). Its description in RNAcentral is "HSALNT0386345". The record is from RNAcentral. Lineage: Eukaryota; Metazoa; Chordata; Mammalia; Primates; Hominidae.